AGCUAGUGCACGAUGACAUCGGAUCGUCCUGGUUUUUGGCUUCCUGAAAUCAAAAUAACUUAUUUUACUUGAAAAUUGCUGUGAAGAUUCCUUUAUUCAAACGCUAUAAAACUAGGCAAAGCAAUUAAAAAAAAAGAACUGUGGCCUUUCCACCUGUACAAAAAUGAAGUGGUUUAGUAUAGCUCUUACACCUGCCCUUUUUAAUCAAAUUGGAUCGGCUGCCGGAAAAACUAAGUGAUUUUUUU
RNAcentral lists this long non-coding RNA (245 nucleotides) under Mytilus galloprovincialis (Mediterranean mussel). Lineage: Eukaryota; Metazoa; Mollusca; Bivalvia; Mytilida; Mytilidae. The record is from RNAcentral.